RNAcentral lists this ribosomal RNA (385 nucleotides) under Bacillus paralicheniformis. RNAcentral's name for it is "bacterial SSU rRNA". It matches the Rfam family "Bacterial small subunit ribosomal RNA", at positions 1 to 375 of the family's 1533-position model. The record is from RNAcentral. Lineage: Bacteria; Bacillati; Bacillota; Bacilli; Caryophanales; Bacillaceae.
UUCAUGGAGAGUUUGAUCCUGGCUCAGGACGAACGCUGGCGGCGUGCCUAAUACAUGCAAGUCGAGCGGACCGACGGGAGCUUGCUCCCUUAGGUCAGCGGCGGACGGGUGAGUAACACGUGGGUAACCUGCCUGUAAGACUGGGAUAACUCCGGGAAACCGGGGCUAAUACCGGAUGCUUGAUUGAACCGCAUGGUUCAAUUAUAAAAGGUGGCUUUCAGCUACCACUUACAGAUGGAUCCGCGGCGCAUUAGCUAGUUGGUGAGGUAACGGCUCACCAAGGCAACGAUGCGUAGCCGACCUGAGAGGGUGAUCGGCCACACUGGGACUGAGACACGGCCCAGACUCCUACGGGAGGCAGCAGUAGGGAAUCUUCCGCAAUGGA